AGCGCAAACGCUGGCGGCAGGCCUAACACAUGCAAGUCGAGCGCUCAUCUUCGGAUGGGAGCGGCGCACACGGGUGAGUAACACGUGGGAACCUACCUUGAAGUAUGGAAUAACUGAGGGAAACUUCAUUGCUAAUACCGUAUACGCCCUACGGGGGAAAGAUUUAUCGCUUCAAGACGGGCCCGCGUUGAAGAUUAGCUAGUUGGUGAGGUAAUGGCUCACCAAGGCGACGAUCCAUAGCUGAUUUGAGAGCAAAUGAUCAGCCACACUGGGACUGAGACACGGCCCAGACUCCUACGGGAGGCAGCAGUGGGAAGAAUAUUGGACAAUGGGCGCAAGCCUGAUCCAGCCAUGCCGCGUGAGUGAUGAAGGCCUUGACGGGUUGUAAAGCUCUUUCAGAUGGGACGAUGAUGACGGUACCAUCAGAAGAAGCCCCGGGCCUAACUUCGUGCCAGCAGCCGCGGUAAUACGAAGGGGGCUAGCGUUGUUCGGAAUUACUGUAGGCGUAAAGCGCGCGUAGGCGGCUUUGUCAGUCAGGGGUGAAAUCCCGGGGCUUAACCUCACGGAACUGCCUUUGAUACUGCAAGGCUUGAGUCUGUGAGAGGAUGGUGGAAUACCCAGUGUCAAGAGGUGAAAUUCGU
This 641-nucleotide ribosomal RNA is filed under the name uncultured Alphaproteobacteria bacterium. RNAcentral's name for it is "bacterial SSU rRNA". It matches the Rfam family "Bacterial small subunit ribosomal RNA", at positions 26 to 691 of the family's 1533-position model. Lineage: Bacteria; Pseudomonadati; Pseudomonadota; Alphaproteobacteria. The record is from RNAcentral.